GUAUGUCUACAUCUACAAUUUUGCAGCGCUGGUUGUUACAGCUGUAUUAGUACAGCUGUAUAGGGCCAGCGCUGCAGAGUGGUCACACUUACAGCAACCAGCGCUGCAAGUGGUGUUAGAUGUGGCCACACUGCAGCGCUGUUGGGCGGCUUCAAGGGGGGUUAGGGGAACGCGAGAGCAAACCGCGGGGAAGCAGGUCUCCUUCCCCGCGGUUUGCUCCAGUGUUCCCCGAACCCCCGUGCAAGCAGGUCUCCUUCCCUGCGGUUUGCUCCGGUGUUUUUUGAACCCCCGUGCAAGCAGAUCUCCUUCCCCGCGGUGUGCUGUCGCGUUCCCCGAACCCCCGUGCAAGCAGGUCUCCUUCCCAGCGGUUUGCUCUGGUUGUUCCCCGAACCCCCGUGCAAGCAGGUCUCCUUCCCAGCGGUUUGCUCCGGUGUUCCCCAAACCCCCCUGCAAGCAGGUCUCCUUCCCAGCGGUUUGCUCCGGUGUUUUUUGAACCCCCGUGCAAGCAGAUCUCCUUCCCCGCGGUGUGCUGUCACGUUCCCCGAACCCCCAUGCAAGCAGGUCUCCUUCCCAGCGGUUUGCUCCGGUGUUCCCCAAACCCCCCCUGCAAGCAGGUCUCCUUCCCCGCGGUGUGCUGUCGCGUUCCCCGAACCUCCCUGCAAACCGCGGGGAAGGAGAUCUGCUUGCACGGGGGUUAGG
This is a long non-coding RNA of Gopherus flavomarginatus (Mexican gopher tortoise), 699 nucleotides long. RefSeq lists it as uncharacterized. Lineage: Eukaryota; Metazoa; Chordata; Testudines; Testudinidae. The record is from RefSeq and is a predicted model, not a curated record. The transcript has 3 exons.